UGUUAUGUAGAUUUGACUUUGAAACCAUAUAAAUGUUUCACAUAAUUAUUUAAAAAUUAAACCAAAAUGAGAAAAAAGUAGAAAACCCUAAAAAGUCAAAAGCAAAAUCAGGCAGAUGUACCUAAUUUUGUAUCAUCUUUGUGGCUUAACCAUGCAGACAGAAAUAAUUUAAGAUCACUUUAAACGCUGUGAUUUGACUCUAUCCAUCCCUAGAGGGAUAGACUGUAAAGGAGAGAGAAAAGAACCGCAUAAAGGCUUAAUCUGUUUUCAGUAUUCAUAUUUCUAGUAACAGUAUUGCUGCUGUCAUUCUGAAACUGUGACCUAAAGCAAGUUAUUAUGUUUACAUCUUUGGGAAUUGAGAUUUCCACCCUAAAAGAAAAGAGAUACAAAUAUAAAAUGAAAGAAGUUAGGUAAGAGCAUGGCUUUCUAAAUUUGUUGGAAAUAUCAGUAUGAGCUCAUAAUGUAUUUCCUCUUAAACAAUGUAUUUCUUGACCCUGACCGUCGGAAAAGCACAGACGCCUUGAGUGACCCAGGGGCAGUGAGCACCCCUGGUGUCCAUAUGGUGGCCUCUCCUUGAAGAAAUGGCUGACUUAAGGUCUGGGGCAAGACGUGUACAAGAUAAACGUGGUGCAUCGUUUUAUACCAGAGAGCAAGGAAGCUUUCAGGGACUCCUGGUCCUGCUGGGAUCGUAUUACUGCCCGGGAGCUUCCCACCACGGUGGACUGGGAGAGGCUGCCAUCCACUGUGGUUCUAGGAGUAGCUGGAUUUAACUUAGCCUGACUUGAAUUCAUGACUCAGGAAGGCAUGUUUUCUCUCCCCGGCCCCCCACCCCUUUCAGAUAGUUCCUUUAAGUUCUCACCGUCCUGUCGUGUUUGUUUUUAAUCUUAAAAUCUGUCACAUCUUCUGCCCUCUCCUUCCCUCCCCCACGGCUCUUCAAACUUUGCACUUUCCAGUGGAGCCCAGCAGAUCCUGUUGACUCUGAUGGGUGGAGAGAUAAGAGGACUUACGGUUACACUCUGAUAAAAACACGCAUUUUAUUGUACACUGGAGGGAGGAAUUGAUGGAAGACAGAAGAGUAUUAGUGCAGGCCGGUUCAUGAUCACUGACUGUGCGGUUCAUGCCACGCUAAGAAGUGGGGUAGGAGCCAGGCAGCAGAGACUUCGCAAUGCAGCACGUUGAGGGGUGUAGUGGAGUGUGCUGGACCCGGGCUGAGGUCUGAGGUGCUGGGGAAGACACCAGCAAAGGGGGAGCAAGUCUACCAGGAGAGAUGAGAAUGUGUCAAGAGUCAUGGGUGUCCCCACAAUGGGUGGUCCCUGCACCUGGGAGCUCAGGGGAUCCGUGGCCAGCACUCUCUUGGUUACUGAUGAUACAAACACAAUCUGUACAUGUUUAACAGAAAAGGAAUUUCUUCACUACUUCAGAAGCUCAGGCUCUGGCUGGCUUCAGGCUUAGCUGGAUCCAGGAGUUUCGGUGAUGCUGUGUCUCUCUUUUCCCGUCCACCCUGCAGCUCUGCUUCCCUCUGUGUGUGAGCCUCACUCUGUCUUAGUACAAGGCCCCCCCCCCUUGUGCCUGAGGAUGACCGGCGUGACACUUCAGUGUCAUAUUAUCCUGGUAUGGCAGCACUAAUUAAACGAGUUUUCUCCCGUUGCUCCAGCAGAGAAGGUUUACCAGUUGGGAACAGGAAGACAUGCAAUUUAAACACUGCUCCAUCUCGUAAGAAAAAAAGGUAAAACCCAACCACAUCCAGUCUGUGCAGGAGCAGAGAAAAACCAGGAUAUGAGGAGGAAUCAGGAUUCAGUGCUCCGUCGCCGACCAGAGGAUGAGCUUGGGUUAGUCCCUUCGUCUCAGCGGGACUCAGUUUCCCCUCUGUGAAAGAAUGGCUCGGAGUGAAAGUUUCGUGAGGUUCCCUUAACACGACAAGGUCUAGGUUCUGUUUUCAGAAACUGAUAUCCGGGUUGGGGAACUUAAGCUUCGUGUCACACUUAGACACGUUGUGGCGUUUUGGAAAGACCAGGGCCGGGGUGGGUACUUCCAGAACCUGGGGACUGGGUUUUUCUUUAAUCUGUCUAAGUAAUGUGCAGGGGAGCCUCGGUGACCACACGUGCCCUGACCCCUCAUAAAGCCCCUGUCCUGUUGUGGCCUGGUCAUAAACUUUCCUGGAAAGGUCAUGUGAAUGUAUCGUUCCCCAAUACUUUAUAAUUAGAAAUUAUGGUCUCUCUUCCACGUGACACUUUUGAGCUUUAGCAGAUCUUAAAUUAAAACUGUAUACAUGUUUUAAAAUGUUCUUCAGAAAACUUUAAUUGCACAAGUUGAAAAUUUGACUGAAAAAGUCCUGAACGCUUAUCUAAAUAAACAUACAGAUCUGACCUCAAAUGUUUCAAAAAAUAAAUUUGGAAUUAAACGUG
Long non-coding RNA from Aethalodelphis obliquidens (Pacific white-sided dolphin), 2405 nucleotides. RefSeq lists it as uncharacterized. The record is from RefSeq and is a predicted model, not a curated record. NCBI's taxonomy places the organism in Eukaryota, Metazoa, Chordata, Mammalia, Artiodactyla, Delphinidae. The transcript has 2 exons.